This 83-nucleotide ribosomal RNA is filed under the name Hemiselmis andersenii. Its description in RNAcentral is "partial Archaeal small subunit ribosomal RNA". The record is from RNAcentral. Lineage: Eukaryota; Cryptophyceae; Cryptomonadales; Hemiselmidaceae.
GCGGGGCCCAGGGACCCGCGCGCCUACGCCUACGCGUCGUCGCCCGGCGAGGCCUCCAAGGGGUCCCCCGGGUCGGUCCAGGG